CGCAGCCGCGGUAAUUCCAGCUCCAAUAGCGUAUAUUAAAGUUGUUGCAGUUAAAAAGCUCGUAGUUGAAUUUCGGGAUUGACGUGACGGUCAUGCCUUAAGGGGUAUGAACUGUUACUGUUGAUUUCUCACCUUCUGGAGAAACUUGAUGUCCUUUAUUGGGUGUCCUGCGGAUCCAGGACCUUUACCUUGAAAAAUUAGAGUGUUUAAAGCAGGCAUUUUUGCUCGAAUACAUUAGCAUGGAAUAAUAGAAUAGGACGGCAUGGUUCUAUUUUGUUGGUUUCUAGGAUCACCGUAAUGAUUAAUAGGGAUAGUUGGGGGCAUUAGUAUUCAAUUGUCAGAGGUGAAAUUCUUGGAUUUUAUUGAAGACU
RNAcentral lists this ribosomal RNA (371 nucleotides) under uncultured Entrophospora. RNAcentral describes it as "SSU rRNA". It matches the Rfam family "Eukaryotic small subunit ribosomal RNA", at positions 569 to 937 of the family's 1831-position model. The record is from RNAcentral. Lineage: Eukaryota; Fungi; Glomeromycota; Glomeromycetes; Entrophosporales; Entrophosporaceae.